Molecule: ribosomal RNA, 449 nt
Filed under: Arthrotidea ruficollis
Lineage: Eukaryota; Metazoa; Arthropoda; Insecta; Coleoptera; Chrysomelidae
Description: partial 16S ribosomal RNA
Source: RNAcentral
UCUUUUUGUAGUUUAUAUAAAGUCUGGCCUGCCCCCUGAUUAUUAAAUGGCCGCAGUAUUUUGACUGUGCUAAGGUAGCAUAAUCAUUAGCUUUUUAAUUGAGAGCUGGAAUGAAGGGUUUGAUGAAAAAUUAACUGUCUCUAUUUUAUUAUUAAAAUUUUAUUUUUAAGUUAAAAAGCUUAAAUAUUUUUAUUAGACGAGAAGACCCUAUAGAGUUUUAUAAAUUGUUUAUAUUUUAUAUUUAGUAUUUAAUAUAAAAUUUGAAUUAUUUAUUUGGUUGGGGUGAUUGAAAAAUUUAAUUAACUUUUUUUUUAAUUUUAUAUUUUUAAAUAGAUUAUUGAUCCAAUAUGAAUUGAUUAUAAGAUUAAGUUACCUUAGGGAUAACAGCGUAAUUUUAUUGGAGAGUUCAAAUUAAUAAUAAAGAUUGCGACCUCGAUGUUGGAUUAAAA